RNAcentral lists this ribosomal RNA (493 nucleotides) under uncultured bacterium. RNAcentral describes it as "partial 16S ribosomal RNA". It matches the Rfam family "Bacterial small subunit ribosomal RNA", at positions 30 to 523 of the family's 1533-position model. The record is from RNAcentral.
AUUGAACGCUGGCGGCAUGCUUUACACAUGCAAGUCGAACGGUAACAGGUUAAGCUGACGAGUGGCGAACGGGUGAGUAAUGCAUCGGAACGUGCCCGGUCGUGGGGGAUAACGCAGCGCAAGCUGCGCUAAUACCGCAUACGAUCUGAGGAUGAAAGCGGGGGACCGUAAGGCCUCGUGCGAUCGGAUCGGCCGAUGUCAGAUUAGGUAGUUGGUGGGGUAAAGGCUCACCAAGCCAACGAUCUGUAGCUGGUCUGAGAGGACGACCAGCCACACUGGGACUGAGACACGGCCCAGACUCCUACGGGAGGCAGCAGUGGGGAAUUUUGGACAAUGGGCGAAAGCCUGAUCCAGCAAUGCCGCGUGCAGGAAGAAGGCCUUCGGGUUGUAAACUGCUUUUGUACGGAGCGAAAAGGUCUCCUCUAAUACAGGGGGCUCAUGACGGUACCGUAAGAAUAAGCACCGGCUAACUACGUGCCAGCAGCCGCCGUAA